GUAGAUCAGCAUGCUACGGUGAAUACGUUCCCGGGUCUUGUACACACCGCCCGUCACACCACGAGAGUUUGUAACACCCGAAGCCGGUGGAGUAACCAUUUGGAGCUAGCCGUCGAAGGUGGGACAAAUGAUUGGGGUGAAGUCGUAACAAGGUAGCCGUAUCGGAAGGUGCGGCUGGAUCACCUCCUUUCUAAGGA
RNAcentral lists this ribosomal RNA (197 nucleotides) under Staphylococcus epidermidis. Its description in RNAcentral is "partial 16S ribosomal RNA". It matches the Rfam family "Bacterial small subunit ribosomal RNA", at positions 1344 to 1533 of the family's 1533-position model. Lineage: Bacteria; Bacillati; Bacillota; Bacilli; Caryophanales; Staphylococcaceae. The record is from RNAcentral.